UUCGGGUUGUAAAGUACUUUCAGCAGUGAGGAAGGUGGAUAUGUUAAUAGCAUAUUCAUUUGACGUUAGCUGCAGAAGAAGCACCGGCUAACUCCGUGCCAGCAGCCGCGGUAAUACGGAGGGUGCGAGCGUUAAUCGGAAUUACUGGGCGUAAAGCGCAUGCAGGUGGUUUGUUAAGUCAGAUGUGAAAGGCCCGGGGCUCAACCUCGGAAUUGCAUUUGAAACUGGCAAACUAGAGUACUGUAGAGGGGGUAGAAUUUCAGGUGUAGCGGUGAAAUGCGUAGAGAUCUGAAGGAAUACCGGUGGCGAAGGCGGCCCCCUGGACAGAUACUGACACUCAGAUGCGAAAGCGUGGGGAGCAAACAGGAUUAGAUACCCUGGUAG
Molecule: ribosomal RNA, 384 nt
Filed under: uncultured bacterium
Lineage: Bacteria
Description: bacterial SSU rRNA
Rfam family: Bacterial small subunit ribosomal RNA
Source: RNAcentral